Molecule: non-coding RNA, 703 nt
Organism: Phascolarctos cinereus (koala)
Lineage: Eukaryota; Metazoa; Chordata; Mammalia; Diprotodontia; Phascolarctidae
Source: RefSeq, a predicted model, not a curated record
CUAUAAGCUGAAGCCCAGUUAAUUUGGGGGAAAGAUUCCUGCCUUCAUGGGAAAUCUGUACAAACUCCUGGUCUGAGAUAGAAAUUGAACCAGUAUCCAGCUCCUUCCUUGCUAAGGCUGCCUAAGACCUAUCUGCCUAUGCUAUCUGCCUGCAUCUGACCUCCUGUUAACUAGGUCUCUUAGUGCCUGGGGGCUUGUCAUCCUGGAACACUUGUGCACUCUUCUGGACCCCUCUCCUACUGGCAAUCAACAAACAUUUAUUAAGUGCCUGCUGUGUCCCAGGAAUUACACUACAAAUUUCAAGGAGCUUCCAUUCUAAUGGGGGAGACAACCAGGACACACAUGAGCAUACGUAAAAGAGAGAAGCAUGAAAAUGCUAUAUUAGCCAAUAUAGAAUGGACUCCAAACAAAAAAAUAAACCUGACGCUUUUCUGGGAGUCGAGGAAAUGAGCACCCAAAGGACAAGGGGCUGAUGGAUUCAAGAUACUGGAGAAUUGGACUGGAGAGUUGACCUAUAUGGUAAAGAUUGGAAAGAGAGAGGGGUAAAACUAGAGCUGGCAGGAUGGCCUGAGAAAGGUCUGAGGGUAGGGGGAUUGGGGUCAUGAUGAAUUUAGGAUAGGUCUAGGAAGCUGAGAAAAGGCAGAGAUGGAGUGGUGGGAGGUUCUGUUUUUGUUUUGUUUUUUUCCUUUUUGGUGAGGCAAUC